RNAcentral lists this long non-coding RNA (227 nucleotides) under Lathyrus oleraceus (garden pea). RNAcentral describes it as "Pisum sativum (pea) long non-coding RNA (PSAT_LNC041798)". The record is from RNAcentral. Lineage: Eukaryota; Viridiplantae; Streptophyta; Magnoliopsida; Fabales; Fabaceae.
AGUGAUCUCAGUAUUCCCAGCAGAUUCCAACUCAGUGCGGGUAGCAACCCACCAAUCAUCAGCUUCCUCUGACAGCAUAUGUGUACCGAACCUGACCUUCUGGUUAUCAGCACACUCAGUUACUCUGAAGAUCCUCUCGAUCUCCUUCAACCACUUCUGAGCACCAUCUGGAUCGUAUGCUCCCUUGAACAUUGGAGGAUUGUUCUUCUGGAACUCACUCAGUUGAC